Molecule: ribosomal RNA, 951 nt
Filed under: Umbellula sp. MBARI D1043-BT1
Lineage: Eukaryota; Metazoa; Cnidaria; Anthozoa; Scleralcyonacea; Umbellulidae
Description: partial large subunit ribosomal RNA
Rfam family: Eukaryotic large subunit ribosomal RNA
Source: RNAcentral
AGUAAUGGCGAAUGAAGAGGGAACAGCUCAAUUUUUAAAUCUCCGUUGCUUGCAGCGGCGAAUUGUAGUUUCGAGAAGUACUUUCUCGGCGAACAGACCUUGCUAAGUUGCUUGGAACAGCACGUCAUAGAGGGUGACAACCCCGUACGUGGCAAGGUCCGUCGCUUGCGAUGUGCUUUCAAAGAGUCGGGUUGUUUGGGAAUGCAGCCCAAAAUGGGUGGUAAACUCCAUCUAAAGCUAAAUAUAGGCACGAGACCGAUAGCGAACAAGUACCGUGAGGGAAAGAUGAAAAGGACUUUGAAAAGAGAGUUAAAGAGUACGUGAAACCGUUGAAAGGGAAGCGAAUGGAGUUAGCAAUUYRCCGCGCCAGAUUCAGCUUUUCGCGUGCCGCGACGUUCGCGAUCUCGAUCUUUGUAGACGAGUCGCGUACGGACGCGGCGCGGGGUAGGCGCACUUCUGGUGGGCGAGCGUCAACGUCGGUCUCCGGUGAGCUACAAGGUCGCGUGGAAGGUGGACUUUCCUUCGGGAAGGUUGUUAAGCCUCGCGCACGUAUGGCUCGUCGAAGUCCGUGGCAUAUCGUCGCGACGCGUGCCUCCYUUCGGGGUUGGCUGGUGUCUUGGUCUGUUGGUCCGGUUGUCGACCGAGUGGACGGCACGCCUGUGCACUCAAACCGCUGCCGGUCAACAGUUCGAUGAUCACACACAACGCGUCAAGGACGUUGACGAUCAUACGGCUCUAUCCGACCCGUCUUGAAACACGGACCAAGGAGUCUAACAUGUGCGCAAGUCUCUGGGUGAUCGAAACCCGUGGGCACRAUGAAAGUAAAGGCAGYMACGCUGCUGAGGUGAGAAGCGCUUUGCGCUGCAUCAUCGACCGACCUAUUCUACUCCUAGAAAGGUUUGAGUAAGAGCGUACCUGUUGGGACCCGAAAGAUGGUGAACUAUGCCUGAA